GAUGAACGCUGGCGGCGUGCCUAAUACAUGCAAGUCGAGCGAACGGACGAGAUGUUUGUUUCUCUGAUGUUAGCGGCGGACGGGUGAGUCACACGUGGAUAACCUACCUAUAAGACUGGGAUAACUUCGGGAAACCGGAGCUCAUACCGUUUGAUAUUUUGAACCGCAUGGUUCAAUAGUAAAAGACGGUCUUGCGGUCACUUAUAGAUUGACCCACGCUGCAUUAGCGAGUUGGUAAGGUAACAGCAUACCAAGGCAACGAUGCAUAGCCGACAUGAGAGGGAGGUCGGCCAGACUGGAACGGAGACACGGUCCAGAGGCCUACGGGAGGCGGCAGUUGGGAAUCUUCCGCGAUGGGGUGGAGACUGACGGAGCAACGCCGCGGGGGCGAUGAAGGUCAUCGGGUCGUAAAACUCUGGUAUUAGGGAAGAAAAUGUGUGUAAGUAACUGUGCAAAUCAUGACGGUACCUAAUAAGAGAGCCACGGCUAACUUCGUG
This 497-nucleotide ribosomal RNA is filed under the name uncultured bacterium. RNAcentral describes it as "partial 16S ribosomal RNA". It matches the Rfam family "Bacterial small subunit ribosomal RNA", at positions 28 to 507 of the family's 1533-position model. The record is from RNAcentral.